RNAcentral lists this ribosomal RNA (301 nucleotides) under uncultured bacterium. Its description in RNAcentral is "partial 16S ribosomal RNA". It matches the Rfam family "Bacterial small subunit ribosomal RNA", at positions 509 to 807 of the family's 1533-position model. The record is from RNAcentral.
CAGUCGCCGCGGGAAUACGUAGGUGGCAAGCGUUGUCCGGAAUUAUUGGGCGUAAAGGGCUCGCAGGCGGUUUCUUAAGUCUGAUGUGAAAGCCCCCGGCUCAACCGGGGAGGGUCAUUGGAAACUGGGAAACUUGAGUGCAGAAGAGGAGAGUGGAAUUCCACGUGUAGCGGUGAAAUGCGUAGAGAUGUGGAGGAACACCAGUGGCGAAGGCGACUCUCUGGUCAGUAACUGACGCUGAGGAGCGAAAGCGUGGGGAGCGAACAGGAUUAGAUACCCCGGUAGUCCCUGUCUCUUAUAC